Zonotrichia albicollis (white-throated sparrow) is the source of this 1579-nucleotide long non-coding RNA. NCBI's taxonomy places the organism in Eukaryota, Metazoa, Chordata, Aves, Passeriformes, Passerellidae. The record is from Ensembl.
AUGGCCACAAUCAUAUCAUGGUCAUCUCAUGGCUGUGGUUGUGUCAUGGUCAUGAUAAUCUCAAGGUCACAGCCAUUUCCUGAUCACCAUCAUCUCAUGCUCAUGGCUAUGUCAUUGUCAUCCAAUGGUCACAGUCCUCUCAUGGUCAUGAGCAUAUCAUGGACAUGGUCACAGUCAUGGUCCUUACAUGGUCAUGGUCAUUCCAAGAUCAUCUCAUGGUCAACUCAUGGCCACAAUCAUCAUGGUCAUCUCAUGGUCAUGGUCAUCUCAUGGUCAUGCACAGCAAUGGGGAACAAGGACACAUGGACCUCCUUGCUUGUUUCAAAGAAGUUUGUUUAUUGUAACCAACUGAUCUUUUUUAUACUCAAAACUUGCCCCAAACUUAACCAAAAUAAGCACGCGUUGUCUGCCUGCCACUGCAGUGUUGCUAUGGAUGUGUCCCUUUACCCAAUCAGCUCUCUGAUCAUGUGGUGUCCACACAUCUCCUCAGCCAAUCCCUGCCUCACACAUGAGGCAACCACCAACCCACUCUCUGGCCAUCAACCCACAGCUGAACCUUCCCAGAGGGCCUUUUGGUGAACAGAAGUGAACAGGAUUGAACAAAGGUGGGAAAGGUCCUUAUUCUGUAAGGCUUGUUCCCCACAGUUAUGGUCAUCACCAUCACCUUAUGGUCACAAUCAUCUCAUGGUCAUCUCACAGUCACCUCAUGGUUACAAUUGUCUCACAGCCAUGGCUGUGUCAUGAUCAUUUCGUGGUCAUGAUCACCACAUAGCCAUGGUGUGAGACGAUUAUGGUCAUCUCAUGGUCACCUCUUGGUCAAGAUUGUGUCAUGUUCAUAGUGUUGGUCAUCUCAAAGCCUUCAUAAUUUCAUGGCCAUGGUGGUGUCAUAGUCAUCUCAUGGUCAUUCCAUUGUCAUAAUCAUCUUAUGGUCAUCUUAUGGUCAUGGCCAUCUCAUAGUGAUGGUCAUGGUCAUUUCCUGAUCACCAUCAUCUCAUGCUAAGGGUCAUCUCACUGUAAUGGUCAUCUCAUGGCCACGAUCAUGUCAGGGUCACCUCAAGGCCACAGUUAUCCCAUGGCCAACCCACGGUCAUCUCUUCAUCCAAAUCAUCUCAUGGUCAGGGUUGUGGUUGUGUCAUGGUCAUGGUCACAGUCAUGGUCAUCCCAUGGACAUGGUCAUCUCAGGGUUGUGUCACUCAUGGUCAUUCUCACGGCCAUCUCAUGCUCGUGUCAUGGCCGUGGUCAUGGCCAGGGAACCUCUCUGAGAUCCUGAUUUUGGGACACUCAAGGACCUCUGGGAACAACAAGGCCUGGCCUGACCCCUCCCCCCAUCCCACUGCCCAUCCAGGAGCCCAACGUGGCCAAACCCUUCUGGGGACACCUCAGACAUGGGACACGGAGCGGGAAAUUAAUCCCGGGAGAUGGAGCCGGGUGUGGCUGGCAAGUCCCCAUCCUGCUCCUGGUGUCCCAGUCCAGGUCCUGAUCUCCCCAUCCUGCUCCUGGUGUUCCCAUCCUAUUCCUGGUGUCCCCAUCCCUGCUCCAGUGACCCCAUUCCCAUUUCUGGCUCCCAGAGAUGAACUGU